This 73-nucleotide transfer RNA is filed under the name Spirochaetae bacterium HGW-Spirochaetae-1. RNAcentral's name for it is "tRNA-Lys". It matches the Rfam family "tRNA". From Rfam's summary of the family: Transfer RNA (tRNA) molecules are approximately 80 nucleotides in length. Their secondary structure includes four short double-helical elements and three loops (D, anti-codon, and T loops). The record is from RNAcentral. Lineage: Bacteria; Pseudomonadati; Spirochaetota. RNAcentral also lists the same sequence under 2 other names.
GGGUUGCUAGCUCAACUGGUAGAGCAACUGACUCUUAAUCAGUAGGUCCCGGGUUCGAGCCCCGGGCAACCCA